RNAcentral lists this ribosomal RNA (515 nucleotides) under uncultured bacterium. RNAcentral describes it as "bacterial SSU rRNA". It matches the Rfam family "Bacterial small subunit ribosomal RNA", at positions 9 to 532 of the family's 1533-position model. The record is from RNAcentral.
GAGUUUGAUCCUGGCUCAGGGUUAACGCUGGCGGUGCGCAUAACACAUGCAAGUCGAGCGAGGGCUUAUUUCUCGCAAGAGAGAUAAGUUCCUAGCGGCGAACGGGUGAGUAACACGUGGGUAACCUGUCCUAUCGCGGGGGAUAACAGCGGGAAACCGCUGCUAAUACCGCAUGUUGUCACCGGCUCAUGGCCGGUGAAGAAAGCAGCAAUGCACGAUGGGGUGGGCCCGCGGCCUAUCAGCUAGUCGGUGGGGUAACGGCCUACCGAGGCGAUGACGGGUAGCUGGUCUGAGAGGACGACCAGCCACACGGGGACUGAGACACGGCCCCGACUCCUACGGGAGGCAGCAGUGAGGAAUCUUCCGCAAUGGGCGAAAGCCUGACGGAGCGACACCGCGUGUGGGAUGAAGUCUUUCGGGAUGUAAACCACUGUCGGAGGGGAAGACAAAAAAGACGGUACCCUCAAGAAAGCCCCGGCUAACUACGUGCCAGCAGCCCGCGGAAAUACGUAGGG